UUGAGAGAAUUCUCCAUUAAUUCAUCAUAAAAGGUCUUGUUUACAAUAAUGAGAAAAUAACCUAUUUAUACUAGAUAACCUAGAAUAAUAUUAAAAGGAAUAAAUUCUAGAAAGCCUAGAAAUCUAAUAUAACAGGAAAAUAGAGUCCUAAAAUAUCUAAAUUACCAAAAAUAAGAAAUUGGACCGAAACAAAACUUUUCUAGAUCACAUCAAACCCUCCCUCUUCAAGAGGAUUCAUCCUCGAAUCUUGAUCAAAGUCAUAGCCUUUACUUUCAAUCAACUCAAGCACAUGAAAUGUCUCAUCACUUCUCGGAUGAAAUUUGGACCUCUUUUGACCUCGAACUCUCCUCUUUUGAAUGUAGACCCAAUCACCAUCAUGUAGAUCAAAAUGUGCUUGCCUCAACUGCUUAAUUUUGCGAAUUGGAAAUCCUCCAAUGAAAACUCCACUUGAUGAAUAAUCAUGCAUCUUCCUUGCUUUACUUUGCUCAAACACUUGACGCAAUGUCACUUCUAAUGUAUCCAUAUUGUCCUUCAAUUCAUUUUCCUUAAUCAACUCUCUGCAUGUAUAGCUCCUCGGUGCCUUACUCCAUCAUCUCCUCGGGAAUCACAAAGUCAAUUUUUGGUAGAUAAGGAAAAUCCAACCGAUGUAGUAUCAACUGAUGUUCAAUUUCUGGGACAGGUGGUAUUCCAAUGUGAUCAUUUUCUAGGAUUGAAUCUU
RNAcentral lists this long non-coding RNA (718 nucleotides) under Olea europaea (common olive). Its description in RNAcentral is "long non-coding RNA (OEUR_LNC013408)". Lineage: Eukaryota; Viridiplantae; Streptophyta; Magnoliopsida; Lamiales; Oleaceae. The record is from RNAcentral.